GCGACGAUCCCUAGCUGGUCUGAGAGGAUGAUCAGCCACCACUGGAACUGAGACACGGUCCAGACUCCUACGGGAGGCAGCAGUGGGGAAUAUUGCACAAUGGGCGCAAGCCUGAUGCAGCCAUGCCGCGUGUGUGAAGAAGGCCUUUCGGGUUGUAAAGCACUUUCAGUCGUGAGGAAGGUAGUGUAGUUAAUAGCUGCAUUAUUUGACGUUAGCGACAGAAGAAGCACCGGCUAACUCCGUGCCAGCAGCCGCGGUAAUACGGAGGGUGCGAGCGUUAAUCGGAAUUACUGGGCGUAAAGCGCAUGCAGGUGGUUUGUUAAGUCAGAUGUGAAAGCCCGGGGCUCAACCUCGGAAUUGCAUUUGAAACUGGCAGACUAGAGUACUGUAGAGGGGGGUAGAAUUUCAGGUGUAGCGGUGAAAUGCGUAGAGAUCUGAAGGAAUACCGGUGGCGAAGGCGGCCCCCUGGACAGAUACUGACACUCAGAUGCGAAAGCGUGGGGAGCAAACAGGAUUAGAUACCCUGGUAGUCCACGCCGUAAACGAUGUCUACUUGGAGGUUGUGGCCUUGAGCCGUGGCUUUCGGAGCUAACGCGUUAAGUAGACCGCCUGGGGAGUACGGUCGCAAGAUUAAAACUCAAAUGAAUUGACGGGGGCCCGCACAAGCGGUGGAGCAUGUGGUUUAAUUCGAUGCAACGCGAAGAACCUUACCUACUCUUGACAUCCAGAGAACUUUUCAGAGAUGAAUUGGUGCCUUCGGGAACUCUGAGACAGGUGCUGCAUGGCUGUCGUCAG
Molecule: ribosomal RNA, 795 nt
Filed under: Vibrio parahaemolyticus
Lineage: Bacteria; Pseudomonadati; Pseudomonadota; Gammaproteobacteria; Vibrionales; Vibrionaceae
Description: bacterial SSU rRNA
Rfam family: Bacterial small subunit ribosomal RNA
Source: RNAcentral